UACGUAGGGGGCUAGCGUUGUCCGGAAUCAUUGGGCGUAAAGAGCGUGUAGGCGGCCCGGUAAGUCCGCUGUGAAAGUCGGGGGCUCAACCCUCGAAUGCCGGUGGAUACUGUCGGGCUAGAGUCCGGAAGAGGCGAGUGGAAUUCCUGGUGUAGCGGUGGAAUGCGCAGAUAUCAGGAGGAACACCGGUGGCGAAGGCGGCAUCCUGGACCAAUAUUGACGCUGAGGAGCGAAAGCCAGGGGAGCAAACGGG
This 253-nucleotide ribosomal RNA is filed under the name uncultured bacterium. RNAcentral describes it as "partial 16S ribosomal RNA". It matches the Rfam family "Bacterial small subunit ribosomal RNA", at positions 524 to 776 of the family's 1533-position model. The record is from RNAcentral.